UGAAGCUUGCUUCAAUUGCCGGCGACCGGCGCACGGGUGAGUAACGCGUAUCCAACCUUCCGUACACUCAGGGAUAGCCUUUCGAAAGAAAGAUUAAUACCUGAUGGUAUGAUGAGAUUGCAUGAUAGCAUCAUUAAAGAUUUAUCGGUGUACGAUGGGGAUGCGUUCCAUUAGGUAGUAGGCGGGGUAACGGCCCACCUAGCCGACGAUGGAUAGGGGUUCUGAGAGGAAGGUCCCCCACAUUGGAACUGAGACACGGUCCAAACUCCUACGGGAGGCAGCAGUGAGGAAUAUUGGUCAAUGGACGAGAGUCUGAACCAGCCAAGUAGCGUGAAGGAUGAAGGUCCUACGGAUUGUAAACUUCUUUUAUAAGGGAAUAAAACCUUCCACGUGUGGGAGCUUGUAUGUACCUUAUGAAUAAGCAUCGGCUAACUCCGUGCCAGCAGCCGCGGUAAUACGGAGGAUGCGAGCGUUAUCCGGAUUUAUUGGGUUUAAAGGGAGCGCAGACGGGUCGUUAAGUCAGCUGUGAAAGUUUGGGGCUCAACCUUAAAAUUGCAGUUGAUACUGGCGUCCUUGAGUGCGGUUGAGGUGUGCGGAAUUCGUGGUGUAGCGGUGAAAUGCUUAGAUAUCACGAAGAACUCCGAUUGCGAAGGCAGCACACUAAGCCGUAACUGACGUUCAUGCUCGAAAGUGUGGGUAUCAAACAGGAUUAGAUACCCUGGUAGUCCACACGGUAAACGAUGGAUACUCGCUGUUGGCGAUAUACAGUCAGCGGCUUAGUGAAAGCGUUAAGUAUCCCACCUGGGGAGUACGCCGGCAACGGUGAAACUCAAAGGAAUUGACGGGGGCCCGCACAAGCGGAGGAACAUGUGGUUUAAU
This 879-nucleotide ribosomal RNA is filed under the name uncultured Bacteroidaceae bacterium. RNAcentral describes it as "bacterial SSU rRNA". It matches the Rfam family "Bacterial small subunit ribosomal RNA", at positions 74 to 950 of the family's 1533-position model. Lineage: Bacteria; Pseudomonadati; Bacteroidota; Bacteroidia; Bacteroidales; Bacteroidaceae. The record is from RNAcentral.